RNAcentral lists this ribosomal RNA (1437 nucleotides) under uncultured bacterium. Its description in RNAcentral is "bacterial SSU rRNA". It matches the Rfam family "Bacterial small subunit ribosomal RNA". The record is from RNAcentral.
GAUGAACGCUAGCGGGAGGCCUAACACACUGCAAGUCGAACGGGAUUGGUAGCAAUACCAUGAGAGUGGCGCACGGGUGAGUAACGCGUAUGCAACCUGCCUGUAACUGAGAGAUAGCCCAUAGAAAUGUGGAUUAAUACCUCAUAGUUCUGUUGAUUCGCAUGGAUUGACAGAUAAAGCUCCGGCGGUUACAGAUGGGCAUGCGUGACAUUAGCUAGUUGGUGAGGUAACGGCUCACCAAGGCGACGAUGUCUAGGGGUUCUGAGAGGAUGAUCCCCCACACUGGUACUGAGACACGGACCAGACUCCUACGGGAGGCAGCAGUGAGGAAUAUUGGUCAAUGGGCGCAAGCCUGAACCAGCCAUCCCGCGUGCAGGAUGACGGCCCUACGGGUUGUAAACUGCUUUAUACACCAAGAAAAAUCCCCACGAGUGGGGACCCGACGGUAGUGUAUGAAUAAGCAUCGGCUAACUCCGUGCCAGCAGCCGCGGUAAUACGGAGGAUGCAAGCGUUAUCCGGAUUCAUUGGGUUUAAAGGGUGCGUAGGCGGCUUUUUAAGUCAGUGGUGAAAUCCUGCCGCUUAACGGUAGAAUUGCCAUUGAUACUGAGAAGCUUGAGUUCAGUUAAGGUAAGCGGAAUGUGUAGUGUAGCGGUGAAAUGCUUAGAUAUUACACAGAACACCGAUUGCGAAGGCAGCUUACUAAACUGACACUGACGCUGAUGCACGAAAGCGUGGGGAUCGAACAGGAUUAGAUACCCUGGUAGUCCACGCCGUAAACGAUGCUCACUCGCUGUAUGCGAUAUACAGUAUGCGGCCAAGCGAAAGCAUUAAGUGAGCCACCUGGGGAGUACGAUCGCAAGGUUGAAACUCAAAGGAAUUGACGGGGGCCCGCACAAGCGGAGGAACAUGUGGUUUAAUUCGAUGAUACGCGAGGAACCUUACCUGGGCUUAAAUGUAGAACGACGGCUUGUGAAAGCAGGCUUUCUUCGGACGUUUUACAAGGUGCUGCAUGGUUGUCGUCAGCUCGUGCCGUGAGGUGUCGGGUUAAGUCCCAUAACGAGCGCAACCCCUAUCGUUAGUUGCCAGCGGGUCAAGCCGGGGACUCUAGCGAGACUGCCACCGUAAGGUGAGAGGAAGGUGGGGAUGACGUCAAAUCAGCACGGCCCUUAUGUCCAGGGCUACACACGUGUUACAAUGGCCGAUACAAAGGGCAGCUACCGGGCGACCGGAUGCUAAUCUCUAAAGUCGGUCCCAGUUCGGAUUGGAGUCUGCAACCCGACUCCAUGAAGGUGGAAUCGCUAGUAAUCGCGCAUCAGCCAUGGCGCGGUGAAUACGUUCCCGGACCUUGUACACACCGCCCGUCAAGCCAUGGAAGCUGGGGGUACCUGAAGAUGGUGACUUUACGGGGAGCUAUCUAAGGUAAAACUAGUAACUGGG